AUGAACGCUGGCGGCGUGCUUAAUACAUGCAAGUCGAACGAAGAGCCCUUAACCGAAGAUGAUGACGUGCUUGCACUGAAUCUGAUUCACCUUAGGGUACUGAGUGGCGGACGGGUGAGUAACGCGUGGGUAACCUGCCUUAGACAGGGGGAUAACAUCAAGAAAUUGGUGCUAAUACCGCAUAUGCUCACAGUAUCGCAUGAUACAGUGAGGAAAACUCCGGUGGUCUAAGAUGGACCCGCGUCUGAUUAGGCUAGUUGGAGGGGUAACGGCCCACCAAGGCGACGAUCAGUAGCCGACUUGAGAGAGUGAUCGGCCACAUUGGGACUGAGACACGGCCCAAACUCCUACGGGAGGCAGCAGUAGGGAAUAUUGCACAAUGGGGGAAACCCUGAUGCAGCGACGCCGCGUGAAGGAUGAAGUAUUUCGGUAUGUAAACUUCUAUCAGCAAGGAAGAAAAUGACGGUACUUGACUAAGAAGCCCGGCUAAAUACGUGCCAGCCGCCGC
RNAcentral lists this ribosomal RNA (508 nucleotides) under uncultured bacterium. Its description in RNAcentral is "bacterial SSU rRNA". It matches the Rfam family "Bacterial small subunit ribosomal RNA", at positions 29 to 518 of the family's 1533-position model. The record is from RNAcentral.